AUUGAACGCUGGCGGAAUGCUUUACACAUGCAAGUCGAACGGCAGCACGGGGGCAACCCUGGUGGCGAGUGGCGAACGGGUGAGUAACGCAUCGGAAUGUACCCAGUAGUGGGGGAUAACUAGUCGAAAGAUUAGCUAGUACCGCAUACGCACUGAGGUGGAAAGCGGGGGAUCGCAAGACCUCGCGCUAUUGGAGCAGCCGAUGUCCGAUUAGGUAGUUGGUGGGGUAAAGGCCUACCAAGCCUGCGAUCGGUAACUGGUCUGAGAGGACGACCAGUCACACUGGGACUGAGACACGGCCCAGAUUCCUACGGGAGGCAGCAGUGGGGAAUUUUGGACAAUGGGCGCAAGCCUGAUCCAGCCAUGCCGCGUGAGUGAAGAAGGCCUUCGGGU
This 393-nucleotide ribosomal RNA is filed under the name uncultured bacterium. RNAcentral's name for it is "bacterial SSU rRNA". It matches the Rfam family "Bacterial small subunit ribosomal RNA", at positions 30 to 423 of the family's 1533-position model. The record is from RNAcentral.